UGCUCAUCCAGAGGGGUGGAGGGACCGGCCCUACGAAGCCCCGGCAACCAUCUCGGUUUGCGCGACUCGCGAUCCUGCGAGGCGGCCGAGGCAGGUGCCAACUCCGGCCUGGAACCAGAUCGGUUCGCCAGGGAAGAUGAGGG
RNAcentral lists this non-coding RNA (143 nucleotides) under Streptomonospora alba. RNAcentral's name for it is "SAM-I sequence". It matches the Rfam family "SAM riboswitch aptamer (S box leader)". Rfam says of the family: The SAM riboswitch is found upstream of a number of genes which code for proteins involved in methionine or cysteine biosynthesis in Gram-positive bacteria. Lineage: Bacteria; Bacillati; Actinomycetota; Actinomycetes; Streptosporangiales; Nocardiopsidaceae. The record is from Rfam by way of RNAcentral.